GAUCCUGGCUCGGGAUGAACGCUAGCUACAGGCUUAACACAUGCAAGUCGAGGGGCAGCAUGGUCUUAGCUUGCUAAGGCCGAUGGCGACUGGCGCACGGGUGAGUAACACGUAUCCAACCUGCCGUCUACUCUUGGACAGCCUUCUGAAAGGAAGAUUAAUACAAGAUGGCAUCAUGAGUUCACAUGUUCACAUGAUUAAAGGUAUUCCGGUAGACGAUAGGGA
Molecule: ribosomal RNA, 225 nt
Filed under: uncultured bacterium
Lineage: Bacteria
Description: partial 16S ribosomal RNA
Rfam family: Bacterial small subunit ribosomal RNA
Source: RNAcentral